GAUGAACGCUGGCGGCGUGCCUAAUACAUGCAAGUCGAGCGAACAGACGAGGAGCUUGCUCCUCUGACGUUAGCGGCGGACGGGUGAGUAACACGUGGAUAACCUACCUAUAAGACUGGGAUAACUUCGGGAAACCGGAGCUAAUACCGGAUAAUAUAUUGAACCGCAUGGUUCAAUAGUGAAAGACGGUUUUGCUGUCACUUAUAGAUGGAUCCGCGCCGCAUUAGCUAGUUGGUAAGGUAACGGCUUACCAAGGCAACGAUGCGUAGCCGACCUGAGCGGGGGAUCGUCCACAUGGGAGCAGAGCCACGGACCGGACGACUGCGGGAGGGAGCAGUAGAGAAUCAUCCGCAAGGGGCUCGAGCUGGACAGAGCAACGCGGCGGGGAAGAUAAAGGUCUCCGGAACUUAAACAGCUGUUAGCAGUGCAGAACAUAUACGCAAGGAACUACGCACGGCCUGACGGUACCUAAACAGAAAGCCCCGGCUAACUACGUG
RNAcentral lists this ribosomal RNA (497 nucleotides) under uncultured bacterium. RNAcentral's name for it is "partial 16S ribosomal RNA". It matches the Rfam family "Bacterial small subunit ribosomal RNA", at positions 28 to 507 of the family's 1533-position model. The record is from RNAcentral.